Manis pentadactyla (Chinese pangolin) is the source of this 1637-nucleotide long non-coding RNA. RefSeq lists it as uncharacterized. NCBI's taxonomy places the organism in Eukaryota, Metazoa, Chordata, Mammalia, Pholidota, Manidae. The record is from RefSeq and is a predicted model, not a curated record. The transcript is spliced from 3 exons.
CUCAGAGACGGUGCCAGGGAGGACCUGGUGAGGAGGCACCUGGCCAGCUUCCUAGAGCUGUCCCACCAGUCAUCCUGCCAGCGGGAGGCGGGUUGGCAGCCCUGGGGCCACCCGGCAGCCCCGAACCCCUGGAGGCAACCCUAGUACUUCUUGGCUCUUGCCCUCCCACCUGUCGCAUCCACUAUGACACUCAUGGCCUCAGGCACUCUGCCGAGCACUGCGGAGGCCAUCCGCAUAGUGUCAGCCUCGCACCUGGAGGAGGUGCGGGCUGUGCUGGAGCCCUUGGGCCGCACCAGAUUCCUGAGAUCUGCCUCCAUGUCCCCAGGCAGCCAGGCAGAUGGCCAUGCACUCCCGGGAGCAGAUCGGGCCCUGGGUGGAGAGCAUCGUCUCCAGGAUGGUGGUGUACUACUUCUCCUGCAGCAGCUAUGGGAGCCCUGCUGGGUCCCGGGCGGACGGGCGCUUGGGGGUGGGCACACUGUGCGUGUGUGUGCAUGUGCAUGGACGGACACCAGGCCAAUAUCUCUUCAUGUUUAGUCAGCAAGUCCCACCUCCUUGGCCUGUCAGGUGGAUUUUUCAGGUGACACCUGGAGAGCAGGGCCUGUUGGGAGGUCAGUUAUAAAAAUGGGGUAUAUGGGCCAUUUUGGGUGGAACCUGGAGUCUGAGGUUUCACUUGUCAUGGUUUUGUAUUUAAGAGAUGGAAAAUCCUAGUCCUAAUCAGAGACUGACCUCUGACCCUGGCCACACCCUGACACUGACCCUGUCCCUGACCUGAUCCCCAUCCAGACCUCAGAAUAAUCUCUCAGACCAUCACUCUCACACAAAUGCCACUGAAUGUGAAAGGACGGGUCACUGCAAAUGACCCCACGGAGGGCCUGUGGCCUCUUAAGCCAGCCAGAGUGUGCAGGGGGCCGUGCUGUGUGGCCGCUGUACGUGAGGGCACAUUGCCUGUGCCUCGUGGGCUGCGUGUGUGACGCAGCUACGGCUGUAGGUUCAUCCCGUGCUCUGCGGGCUGUCACUGUGUGUGCUGUGUUGCGUGUGUGUGCUGUCUGCUCCCCAUGGUGGGCACACAGGCUGUGUGGUGGGGUGUCCUGACUGCACGGACAGGACCAUGUCCUAAAGACAAGCUUCCUGUCCACUGGCUCCAUGCCCGUGAAGACACUCAGGCAGGAGAGCAGCCCCCGGGGCCACAGGCUCACUCAGAUCCCAGAGCUCACUCAGUGUCUCCUGGUGAGUGACCCCCAGCCUUCCCAGUGGGGGUGCAGGGACUGCAGCGGUCAGGGGCCAGGGGCAGGCCAUCGCCGAGGCUCCUGCUUUGUCCUCCCAGGACACACUGCAGAGGGACCCCAACUUCCUGGCCAACCUCUUCCGGCAGAUCAUACUGGUCAUCGUGGGACUCAGGUACCUCUUCCUUGGGGGUCCAGGAAUGGACACAGGCCGGUCCUCUGAGGGUGGGGUGGGCGACAUGUGAGCAGAUGAUGGAAUGAAUGAGGCCCGAGGGCGGGGCUGGAUCAGGACUAACCGAGACCGGGCUGGCUGGGUUGGGGCCGCCUUUGGUCAGAGGCAGGGUGAUUCACCUUGCUUCUCAUCUGAGACAGGUUGUUAACGCUAGUCACACCCUGACCCUGACCCUGGUCACA